AGUAUUCCACCCCUUGAUGAUGACUUGAAGCGACAAGGCAAUUCCAGACGAUUCGAAAGUGAAGCAGCUGGGCGCCGGGAUUCUUUUCAGAUAUCGAAAGAACAAUGACUUCCAUCUACCCUAAGGCCUGAACCAACUUUCCCUCUCAACAUCUUCGUCACGAAAAUCUUCUCCAUCUGCCUCGAUCUUUUGAUCUGCAUCUCGUGUCGUUAAAGGGAGGAAAAGAGAAACUACGAGAUUUCACCAAACGUCGGCAGAGAGACGAAUAAAAACCGCUCAUUUUGAACGCGUGAGAGACGCAAACAACAACAAUACGAACGUUCUACACACACUUGGCUUGUAGGGCGAGUUCACAGCCUACACCGCAACGAUGACUGUGUCGUCGUCUUUGAAAAGCCAAUUAAACUAGGACCGUUACACAGUCUCAAAACAGUUCCAUAGACUUUACGCUCAAUUGAACUCUUUUUGGGUUUGUUUGGCCAAGGUCUAGUUGGCUCGUUUUUUGGGGUUGGCAGCACAGGCGACCUGGUCGUUCGGCAUAGAAAUUGGCCCGUGACCGAAAAGGGUAGGUUCCACGACAUUCACGAAAAACAAAUGAAAACAGCAAUGAGCAAUGCAUAGCAAAACAAGUAAAAACGUGGCAAAAGCUGCGUAAAGAUCCAGUUUCGAUUCGUUGAAUUUCUCAAACGAAAUGUCAAAUGAAGACGACAGUCAUUCCAAAACAAUGAUAAGAGGAAAAAACCGGUGGAUAUUACCCAUUUUUUUUACAUUUUAACAAUCUUUUUUCGGACUUUGGUGGUGUCACCUUUAUUUCUGUUGGUGACGCGACUCUGUUGUCUGAGAAACGGAAGGAAGGCACCGCUUUUUAUUACCCCCUGCAAGUAUUUUCCCCUUCCCCAAAGAAAUUGUCGUCUCAUCACUUUGUUGUCAUUGUUGUUUAUUUUGCCCUUCAAUGACAAAAGCUUCCUUGCAUUUAAUUCCAUUCCUGCAUACGUUCAUCAAACCCCUCCCACUUUUAUCCCUCAAACACAUAAAAGUUUAUUCUUCUUCCCACAGACAACUUCAUUUUUGCCUUUUUCAUGAAAAACAGAUUUUAAAAAAAAUUGUUUUGUUUCGUGAAAAGGGAAUUUCCGGUUUAUAAUAUACUCGUGACACGAUCAAAUCGUUCCACCGUGAAAAAACAACAAGAAAAGAAUGUCGUAAUGGGCUACUAAUGUGCUGUCGCAACGCGUUGUUCUUUUGUUUGACAAUAUGGUCGGCCAUCAUGCGAUCUUGAAUACAAAAAUUUCUGUUUCCAUAAUCCAAGGUAUUUCUGUUGAACAGCUUAAGAAGAAGAAAAAAAUAAACGCCCAGAUAGUUUAAUAUUUUCUAUAAAGCUAGUACGCCAUGCAGGUGACUUUCAAUUUAUUAAGAAACCCUCCCCCAUGCGAAUUCCCUACUGCAUACCAGUAUCGUGUUUCUGAAUCAUAGAUUUAGCAAACUGGAUUGAACAGGUUUAGAUGUUCGGAGAAACAAGGUAAUACUGAUAUGAAUGUUGACUGUUGCUAAACAUUUAUGUAAUUUUUUAGGGUUUAUUGUGGCUCUCUGCAAUCACUCCAUUGAAAAGUACGAGGAGAGCAAUUUGAGGGGAAUUUCCCAUAGCUCCUGAACGACACCCUUUAAUGUGUAUGAUAGUGGAUAGCACAAUUGUACACCUGUUAUCCAUCCAUCCGUUUGAGAAUAAAUGAUUUCUCCACAACAGGUUUUUCAAUUGGAGAAAAUGUGAUAGAAGAUAAAAUUCCAAUAAGUAAUGUCUUCCAUUCCAUUAGUUAAAAUGGUCCAACAUCAAACACCUUGAAAGUUCAAGAAACGAAACAAAAAACCAGUCAUAGCUCAUUUUUCUUUCUCUCUUUUUUUUUUACUUUGUUUUCCCGCUUUAUACAAAACAAAGCCCUGUGUCAGGUACGACGAGUCACCGGAGAUGAAGGUCUAACAAAAAACACACCUGCUUCCGCCACUUCAUCCAUGUCGUCAUCCCCCCCUUCACCAUCUCUUACUCAUUUGGCUAGAUAGCCGGAUGCACGUGGAAGGGUGGCUGCCGUAGUGUUCUACACGGCAUUGUAGAUGAUGGAAUACGUGGGAAUGAAAGAAGAAAAGAAAAAAAUGGCAGCACUAACAAUAUGAGAGCGUGACGAAUAACGACGAUGGAAUAAUUAUCUCGACUGUAUCCCCCCCCCCCUCUCUUUAUGCCUCUUGGAUAGAACUCUUCUAUAUUUAUAUUUUGAAUUUACGUUUCUUUUUUCUUUUAGGAAAAGAAAAGGAGAAAAGCCGUUGCAAUAGGAUCAGAACCGGGCUUCGGUUUGAAUUAUUCAACGCCCACCACCACCAUCACGACCACUCGUUCUCCUUGGGGAUUCAAAUCAGAUCAGAAAGAAAAAAGAAACGAAUGAAAAACAAGCCCGAUAAUGUCAAGGAUACAUGAGUCACGAGAUCGGUCCCGUGCGUUCAUUUAUUUCGCUUUUCUUCGAACGCGUUUUCCAAAUAACUGAAAGCUGAGAUACUGCUCAUUAUUGAACGAUUUGAUGGAGGGUUGGAGGGGCUUUCUCUUUCCUUCUCGUCCUAAAGUCGUGGCGUCGUAUGCGCCGUGGGGGGGAAUCGAGGUUCCCACGCCCAACAAGGUUUUGAACCUAACCCGGUAACACCACCAUCACUGCAGCCAGCCAAGGAGAACCAGAGGCCCGUAAGAAAAUUCGAAAAGGUAGGGCCGAUGGGGGGGAGAAAGGGUCAUCCUCUCUCUCGCCCAGGCACCAAAAGCUACACACGCAUAUACGCCAGGUGGGUGGAAAUGGAGGAGAAGGAAAAGAUGGAAAACAGGUAUGAAAACGGACGCCCUCUGGCCAGAAAGCCCUUAUACAGGUUAUAACAACGAAAGUAUCAGAGAGGAGGGCCGGGAAGACCCUCAGGUGAGUCUCCCUCGACUAUAAGAGUUGCCCUUUUUUCGUAUUUUUUUUUUUUACUAUUCUUUUUCCUCUUCGUUCCCUUCCCUCUCUCUCAUUCUUGGAGGAAACUAAAAAAGAAGCUUGUCACACUCACACACUUUUUUGUGUGUGGGGGAAGAUAAACCCAAAUCAACAUUGGCGAAAUGGUGGAAGAAAGAAGAAUAAGAAGAAAAACAGGUAUAUGGAAAAGAGAAUACGAAGCCGUACACCCCUGCUAGAUCUUCCAACUUCCGCCGAAUUCCCCCCAAAAAAAGAUAGGCCAACAUUCCAAACCGAUUUCUCAUCACAGCAACAAAACAUUUCCAGAUUUGGUGUACUUAAUCAUAUAAUCAAUAUACUUUAAUCAAAAGGCU
Daphnia magna is the source of this 3331-nucleotide long non-coding RNA. RefSeq lists it as uncharacterized. Lineage: Eukaryota; Metazoa; Arthropoda; Branchiopoda; Diplostraca; Daphniidae. The transcript is spliced from 3 exons. The record is from RefSeq and is a predicted model, not a curated record.